Molecule: ribosomal RNA, 450 nt
Filed under: uncultured bacterium
Lineage: Bacteria
Description: partial 16S ribosomal RNA
Rfam family: Bacterial small subunit ribosomal RNA
Source: RNAcentral
AGCGAACAUUGGCGGCAGGCUUAACACAUGCAAGUCGAGCGAGGCGUAAUAGUCGAGCGGCGAACGGGUGCGUAAUACAUGGGAAUCUACCUCGAAGUGGGGGAUAACGUCCAGAAAUGGACGCUAAUACCGCAUAAUCCAUAUCGGGAAAGCGUUGCAGCGCUUUGAGAUGAGCCCAUGGCUGAUUAGCUUGCUGGUGAGGUAACGGCUCACCAAGGCGACGAUCAGUAGCUGGUCUGAGAGGAUGACCAGCCACACUGGAACUGAGACACGGUCCAGACUCCUACGGGAGGCAGCAGUGGGGAAUCUUGCGAAAUGGGGGCAACCCUGACGCAGCCAUACCGCGUGAGUGAUGAAGGUCUUCGGAUUGUAAAGCUCUUUCGGCAGGGACGACGAUGACGGUACCUGCAAAAGAAGUCACGGCUAACUUCGUGCCAGCAGCCGCAGUAA